RNAcentral lists this ribosomal RNA (244 nucleotides) under uncultured bacterium. RNAcentral's name for it is "partial 16S ribosomal RNA". It matches the Rfam family "Bacterial small subunit ribosomal RNA", at positions 524 to 767 of the family's 1533-position model. The record is from RNAcentral.
UACAGAGGUGGCAAGCGUUGUUCGGAAUUACUGGGCGUAAAGGGCGAGUAGGUGGCCAUCUAAGUCAGACGUGAAAUCCCCCGGCUUAACCUGGGAACUGCGUCUGAUACUGGACGGCUUGAGUAUGGGAGAGGAACGUAGAAUUCCAGGUGUAGCGGUGAAAUGCGUAGAUAUCUGGAGGAAUACCGGUGGCGAAGGCGGCGUUCUGGACCAUUACUGACACUGAAUCGCGAAAGCUAGGGAG